This 492-nucleotide ribosomal RNA is filed under the name uncultured bacterium. RNAcentral describes it as "partial 16S ribosomal RNA". It matches the Rfam family "Bacterial small subunit ribosomal RNA", at positions 29 to 506 of the family's 1533-position model. The record is from RNAcentral.
AGUGAACGCUGGCGGUAGGCCUAACACAUGCAAGUCGAACGGCAGCACAGUAAGAGCUUGCUCUUACGGGUGGCGAGUGGCGGACGGGUGAGGAAUACAUCGGAAUCUACUUUUUCGUGGGGGAUAACGUAGGGAAACUUACGCUAAUACCGCAUACGACCUACGGGUGAAAGCAGGGGAUCUUCGGACCUUGCGCGAUUGAAUGAGCCGAUGUCGGAUUAGCUAGUUGGCGGGGUAAAGGCCCACCAAGGCGACGAUCCGUAGCUGGUCUGAGAGGAUGAUCAGCCACACUGGAACUGAGACACGGUCCAGACUCCUACGGGAGGCAGCAGUGGGGAAUAUUGGACAAUGGGCGCAAGCCUGAUCCAGCCAUACCGCGUGGGUGAAGAAGGCCUUCGGGUUGUAAAGCCCUCUUUGUUGGGAAAGAAAAGCAGCAGGUUAAUACCCCGCUGUUCUGACGGUACCCAAAGAAUAAGCACCGGCUAACUUCGU